Molecule: ribosomal RNA, 493 nt
Filed under: uncultured bacterium
Lineage: Bacteria
Description: partial 16S ribosomal RNA
Rfam family: Bacterial small subunit ribosomal RNA
Source: RNAcentral
GAGUGAACGCUGGCGGUAGGCCUAACACAUGCAAGUCGAACGGCAGCACAGUAAGAGCUUGCUCUUACGGGUGGCGAGUGGCGGACGGGUGAGGAAUACAUCGGAAUCUACUUUUUCGUGGGGGAUAACGUAGGGAAACUUACGCUAAUACCGCAUACGACCUACGGGUGAAAGCAGGGGAUCUUCGGACCUUGCGCGAUUGAAUGAGCCGAUGUCGGAUUAGCUAGUUGGCGGGGUAAAGGCCCACCAAGGCGACGAUCCGUAGCUGGUCUGAGAGGAUGAUCAGCCACACUGGAACUGAGACACGGUCCAGACUCCUACGGGAGGCAGCAGUGGGGAAUAUUGGACAAUGGGCGCAAGCCUGAUCCAGCCAUACCGCGUGGGUGAAGAAGACCUUCGGGUUGUAAAGCCCUUUUGUUGGGAAAGAAAAGCAGCAGGUUAAUACCCCGCUGUUCUGACGGUACCCAAAGAAUAAGCACCGGCUAACUUCGUG